This 10810-nucleotide long non-coding RNA is filed under the name Nicotiana benthamiana. Its description in RNAcentral is "long non-coding RNA (NBEN_LNC026712)". Lineage: Eukaryota; Viridiplantae; Streptophyta; Magnoliopsida; Solanales; Solanaceae. The record is from RNAcentral.
CCAAAAAUACUCCCAAAACCAUGGGGUCACGAGUACAUAGCCUCUAAAAGUACUGAACAAGAGUCUGAAUGGAAAUAAUACAAAUGUCUGACAAAAACUGCAAUGGAACAAACUGAUAUAGACAGAGUAAGCGGUCAUGCGGACGCUGGGCAGCUACCUCAAUACUCGGAUAGCUCGGAUAAGCAACAGCAACAGCACUAGGUCUUUUGUGCACCUGGAUCUGCACACAAAGUGCAGGGGGUAUGGGGCGAGUCUACCAACUCAGCGAGUGAUAAGCAUGUAUAAAAACCCGAAGAUAAGAGAACACGAAAUAACACAAAAGAAAGCUAUCUAGCAGUUCUAUACAAUGCAAGCCUCAGAGAUAUACAUAUAAAGCAACAGGAAAUAAAUGCAUGAGAUGAAAUGCAAUACAUGAACACUGCAAAACGUGCAGCCCGAUCCAUUUGGGUACCCGCGCUCACGGUGGGGGUUCAGACUCCGGAAGGGCUCCUACAGCCCAAGCCCCAUAUCAUACAGUGCCAAUAUUUACCACUGUUUCCAUGAGAAUAUACGGUGCUAAUAGUUACCACCGUUCCAAUAACAAUAUACAGUCCAGAAAAUAGUGAGAUACUAAUCGUUAGUCUGAAAUAUCAUUUAAGAAACAUGUGAGUUUUUUUAAAACGUAUAAAUAUGGCUGAGUUUGCAAAAAUAGUGUUUAAAACCCUGGACUGAAUUCAAAUAGUUUUCAAAACGUAUAAAUAUGGCCGAGUUUGCAAAAAUAGUGUUCAAAACCCUGGAUAGAAUUCAAAUAAUGUGCAAAUUAUGAUAAUUCUGAAAUAACGAUCCCUGAAGGAUUCUACAAGUCGGCACAAGGCCCCAAACAUGGCAUCAAGCCCAGAUAUCAUCAAUAAAGUAUGCGAAGCAAUCGCCAACAUAGCACAAUCUAUCCUUCGGAUUGGACCGAGUCACAAUUCACAACAUAUAUGACCCUGCACUAACCAUGGAGUGCGUGUCCAGCUUCAUAAUAGCGUCACAAUGUAAUAUACCGGGGUUUCAAACCCUCAGGUCAUCAUCUACACCCAUUACUCACCUCAAGCCGGCCGCAAACUAGCUCUCAAUGCCUUUCCCUUGAGAAUCAACCUCCGCGGAUGCCAAAUCUGAUCAAAACCAAUAGGAAUACAUCAAAAUAAGCUAAUUGAACAUAACCUAAUCGAAAUAACUCAAAAUACACCAAAAAAUACAAAGUUGGCAAAACUCGAGCCCCGGGCCCACUUCUCGAAAAAUUACAAAAUUUAUAUUUUCGGAAUUCUCAUCUCGCCACGAGUCCAUACAUAUAAAGUUCAUCAAAAUCGGAGUCCAGUAGCCCAUUCAAAUUCCAAAUUUUUUAUACCAAAAACCAAGCCCUAAAUUCUCCAAUUUCCACCCAAUUUUCAGAGAUUUAGAUGACGAUUCUUUAAUAAAAUCACGUAAUUAGCUAAUAAAACUUACCUCAAGUCGAAACCUAGGUGAAAUCCUCUUACUCCCUCAUCCAAUAACUCCAAAAUGUGCUCAACAAUGGUGGAAAAUGAUAUUUGCUCGUGGAUGACAUGUUAUAAAACCCUUCUGUCUGCCCAGUCUUUUCUUCAUCGCGAUCGUGACACAACCCACGCGACCGCGAUGACCAAUAUUUUAAAAUUCCAAAAUUUCUCUACGCAAAUACGGCAUGAUCCACGCGAUCGCGAUGCCCUAUGAUCUGACUCCACGCGAACGCGAUCUGCUCUCACGCGAUCGCGUAUAAGAAACUCCAAUGGUCCAAAAGUCCCUCUUCACGAACGCGGACAUCCACACGCGGACACCCGAAAUCCACCGCUACACGAACGCGAAGAACAACGCCACAGGCCUACGCAAUCGCAACCCAACUCAUGCGAUCGCGAUCAACAAAUUCCUACUGCACUGCUGCUCCAUUUUCUACAGCAUUUCUUAAAUCUAAACUUCCCGGAAAUCAUCCGAAAUCACCCUGAGGCCUCCCGGGACCUCAACCAAUAGUAUAAACAUACCCCAAAUCAUCAUACAAACUUGUUCCAAUCAUAAAAACACGUCCCUAAACACAAAAAUUAUCAAAUCAUGACGGAUCCAAGCCUAAGUUUCAACUACAAUUUCCGAAACCAACAUUCGAUCAAAACCCAACCGAACGUCCGAAUGACCUGAAAAUUUGCAGACAUAUCCAAAAUCACCUAACGAAGCUACUGCAACNNNNNNNNNNNNNNNNNNNNNNNNNNNNNNNNNNNNNNNNNNNNNNNNNNNNNNNNNNNNNNNNNNNNNNNNNNNNNNNNNAAAAUUCCAUUCCGACCCCCGGAUCAAAAUCUCACAUAUCAACCGGAAUUCGCCAAAAUUCAACUUAGCCAAUUCAAGCCUAAUUCUACACCAGGCCUCCAAUUUCAGUUCUGUUUUCACUCCCAAGUCAUAAAUCACCAUCCGAAACUAGUCGAAUCACCGUAAAUCCAUUCCGAGCCCUAUAACUCAUAAGUCAACAUCCGCUUGACAUUUCCAAACUACCCCUCUCUUAAAAAGACUACUUGCCUCAGUUUCAACCAAACUCAGACCGAAUAACUUCAAACUUCACAAACACAUAAAAAUGAACAUAUAGAAGCAUAAUACGGGGAAAAUGGGGCGGUAACUCAUGUGAAGACGGGUCGGGUCGUCACAUUCUCCCCAACUAAAAUAAACGCUCGUCCUCGAGCGGUUCAAGAAACAUACCUGGAGCCUCAAACAAACGAGGAUAUCUGCUCUGCAUAUCCUACACUGUCUCCCAAGUGGCCUCCUCCACGGGCCGACCUCUCCAGUGCACCUUCACCGAAGCUAUGUACUUAGAUCUCAACUUCCGAACCUGAUGACCCAAAAUAGCCACUGGCUCCACAUUGUAGGUCAAGUCCUCAUCCAACUGAAUCGUGCUGAAGUCUAAUACAUGAGACGGGUCCCCAACGUACUUCGUGAGCAUAGAAACAUGAAACACCGGGUGAACCCCCGACAAGCUGGGUGGUAAAGCAAGCAUAUAGUCCACCUCCCCAAUCCUCCUGAGUAUCUCAAAAGGUCCAAUAAAUCGCGGACUCAGCUUCCCUUUCUUUCCAAACCUCAUCAUGCCUUUCAUAGGCGAAACCUUCAACAAAACCUUCUCGUCCAACAUAUAAGAUACAUCCCGAACCUUCCGGUCCGCAUAACUCUUCUGAAGCGACUGAGCCGUACAAAGUCUCUCCUGGAUAACUUUCACCAUCUCUAAGGCAUCCAGAACUAACUAUGUCCCCAAUAGUCUAGCCUCGCAGGGCUCAAACCAACCGACUGGAUAUCUAUACUUUCUCCCAUAUAAAGUCUCAUAUGGCGCCAUCGGAAUGCUGGAAUGAUAACUAUUGUUAUAAGCAAACUCUGCAAGCGGCAAGAACUCACCCCAAGAACCUCCGAAAUCAAUAACACAAGCACACAACAUGUCCUCCAAUAUCUGAAUAGUACGCUCGGACUGUCCGUCCGUCCGAGGAAGAAAAGUUGUGCUCAUCUGAAUCUGAGUGCCCAACUCCCGAUGAAAGGUCUUCCAGAACUGGGAAGAAAACUGAGCACCCCUGUAUGAGACAAUAGAAACUGGAACCCCCUGCAACUGCACAAUCUCACGGAUGAAUAUAAUGAAAAGUCUUCCAGAACUGGGGAGAAAAAUGAGUACCCCUAUCUGAGACAAUAGAAAUUGGAACCCCAUGCAACCGCACAAUCUCACGGAUGAAAAUCUCUUCCAACCGCUCCGAAGAAUAGGUAGUACACACCAGAAUGAAAUGCGCAUACUUGGUCAGUCUAUCCACAACCACUCAAAUAGAGUCAAAGUUCCUCGAGGUACGAGGGGGGCCACUCACAAAGUCCAAUGUAAUCUUCUCCCAUUUCCACUCCGGGAUAUCCAUCUGCUGAAGUACACCACCGGGUCUCUGAUGCUUGGACCUGAUGACAAUUGAGGCACCUAGCCACAUAACUCACAAUGUCCUUUUCAUUCUCCUCCACCAAUAAUGCUGCCUCAAGUCCUAGUACAUCUUCGCGGCACCCGGAUGAAUAGAAUACCGUGAGCUGUGGGCCUCCUCUAAUAUCAACUCUCGGAGCCCAUCCACAUUUGGAAUGCAAAUACGGCUCUGCAUCCGCAACACACCAUCACUACCAAUAGUCACAUCUCUGGCAUCAUCAUGCUGGGCCCUGUCCUUCAAGACAAGCAAAUGUAGGCCAUCAUACUGGCGCUCCCUGAUGCGAUCAUACAAAGAAGACUGAGAAACCACACAAGCCAACACCCGGAUGGGCUCUGAAAUAUCUAACCUCACCAUCCGAUUGGCCAAGGCCUGAACAUCAACUACAAGGGGCAUCUCCCCAACUGGAAUGUUCGCCAAGCUACCCAUACUCACAGCCUUCCGGCUCAAAGCAUCGACAACUACAUUGGCCUUCCCCGGAUGGUACAAUAUGGUAAUAUCAUAAUCCUGAGUAACUCAAGCCAUCUCCGCUGUCUCAAAUUUAGAUCUUUCUGCUUGUGCAAGUGCUGAAGGUUGCGAUGAUCCGUAUACACCUCACAAGAUACGCCAUAUAGAUAGUGCCUCCAAAUCUUUAAAGCAUGAACUAUAGCAGCCACCUCCAAGUCAUGAACAGGGUAGUUCUUCUCAUGGGGCUUCAGUUGCCGAUAAGCAUAUGCAAUCACUCUACCCUCCUGCAUCAGAUCCAAUACCAAUCCUCGAAGCAUUGCAAUAUAGCGUAUAAGAACCUGAAGCUCCUAGCAGUACUAACAUUGGAGCCGUAGUCAGCAAUGACUUGAGUUUUUGGAAGCUCUCCUCACACCUACCAUACCAUACAAAUGGCGCAUUAACAUUGGAGCCGUAGUCAGCAAUGGCUUGAGCUUUUGGAAGCUCUCCUCACACCCAUCAGACCACACAAAUGGCGCAUUCUUCUGGGUCAACUUUGUCAAAGGCGAAACUAUAGCUGAAAAACCCAGAAAGAACCUGCGGUAAUAACCCGCCAACCCGAGGAAACUCCGAAUAUCAGAAGAUGAGGACGGUCUGGUCCAACUCUCCACUGCCCCGAUCUUCUUUGGGUCAACCUGAAUACCAUCACUGGACACCACGUGUCCCAGAAAAGCCACGGNNNNNNNNNNNNNNNNNNNNNNNNNNNNNNNNNNNNNNNNNNNNNNNNNNNNNNNNNNNNNNNNNNNNNNNNNNNNNNNNNNNNNNNNNNNNNNNNNNNNNNNNNNNNNNNNNNNNGCCACGGAACUGAGCCAGAACUCACACUUGGAGAACUUUGCAUACAACUUCUCCUCUCUCAACCUCUGCAAUACCACCCUCAAAUGUUGCGUGUGCUCCUCCUUGCUACGCGAGUAAACAAAAAUAUCAUCAAUAAACAUAAUCACAAAAGAAUCCAGAUACGACCGAAAUACACUAUUCAUCGGGUGCAUGAAUGCUGAUGGGGCAUUAGUCAGCCCAAAUGACAUAAACCAGAAACUCAUAAUGCCUAUAUCUCGUCUUGAAAGAUGUCUUCAUGAUAUCAGAAUCUCUAAUCUUUAGCUGGUGAUAGCCUGAACGGAGAUCAAUCUUGGAGAAUACCUUUGCUCCCUGAAGCUGGUAAAAAAGAUCCUCAAUACGGGGUAGUGGAUACUUGUCCUAUACUGUCACUUUGUUCAAGUGUCUGUAAUAAAUGCACAUUCUCAUUAUGCCAUCCUUCUUCUUAACAAAUAACACCGGUGCGCCUCACGGCGACACACUCGGACAAAUGAAACCCUUAUCUAGGAGUUCCUGCAGUUGCUCCUUCAACUCCCUUAACUCUGGUGGUGCCAAACGAUAAGGAGGAAUAGAGAUGGGCUGAGUGCCCGACACCAAAUCAAUACUAAAGUCAAUAUCUCUGUCUGGCAGCAUGCUCGGCAGGUCUACUGGAAAUACAUCAGGAAACUCCCUCACCACGGGAACCGAAUUUAGACUAGGAGUCUCAGCUCCAACAUCCCUCACAAAUGCUAGAUAUGAUAAACAUCCCUUCGUAACCAUCUACUGGGCCUUCAAGAAAGAGAUUACCCUGCUGGGUACAUAAUCCAUCGAACCACACCGCACAAUCCUCGGGAUACCCGGCAUAGCCAAAGUGACUGUCUUGGCGUGACAGUCCAGGAUAGCAUGGCAUGGUGAUAGACAAUCCAUGCCCAGAAUAACAUCAAAAUCCACCAUGCUCAAUAGCAGCAAGUCGGCUCGGGUCUCCAAACCUUCAAUAUUAAAAGGACAGGACCGAUACACGUGGUCCACAAUAAUAGUAUCGCCCAUCGGGGUAGAUACAUGCACAUGCAACGCUAGACACCCUCGGGUAGUCCCCAAAUGAUGAGAAAAGUAAGCAGAUACAUAAGAAUAAGUGGAUCCGGGAUCAAAUAAAACUGAGGCAUCCCUGUGGCAAACUGAGAUAAUACAUGUGAUCACUGCGUCUGAAGCAACAACAUCUCUCCUAUCUUGAAGUGUAUAAAUACGAGCCUGACCACCUUUCGACUGCUCAACGCUCCUGGGGCGACCUCUAGAUGACUGUCCCCCACCCCUACUAGACUGGGAUGGUGCUGAAAAAGAUGGAGAAGAAGAGGAGGGUCGAUCCCUCUACUGAUACCUACCACCACGAAGUCGAGGACAAUGUCUCUUCAAAUGACCAAACUCCCCACACUCUAAACAACUGCCUGGAGCUGGAGAAGGGGACUGAAGGGAACCUCUUGCUACAGAUGAACCCUGGGCCGAUGAAGCAGGUGCAGAACUCUAAGCUGGGAGGGCGCUGAGUGAAGAAUGGCCCUGCUGGUGACCCUGACGGCCACGACCGGAAAAAGUUUCGCUGUGCUCUAGGCGGCCUGACUGAGGAGGUCUAAAAGAACGACCUCUGCCCUAAUGAAAUUGGCCCCUAGAUGGAGCACCCCCAUAACUGCGCGAACCUCGAGGCCUCUUGGCCUCCCUCUCCUCUUGCUCUUAGCGACGAUCCGCCUCAAUCUGGUGAGCCAUGUCCACUACCUUCUCGAAGGAUGUUACUACCACUCACUCCCUGGUCUUCAAGAUACGAAUAGAAUAGUUGAGGCCAUCAGUGAACCUCCUGAUCCUCUUCCGAUCUGUCGGGAUCAUCCAAAUAGCAUGUCUGGCCAACUGAGUAAACCUCAACUCAUACUGUGUCACUGACAUCUCCCCUUGAACUAGCCACUCAAACUAGCGGUGCAGCUCCUCUCUGCGGGACUGCAACACAUACUUAUCUAAAAAGAGAGUGGAAAACUGCUGCCAGGUAAGGGGUGCUGCUCCUGCGGGCCUACGCCGCUCAAAAUCCUCCCACCAUGUGAAUAUUGGCCUCGAGAACAGAAAAGUAGUGAAAGAUAAUCUACUGGACUCUAGAAUCCUUGCUGUACGAAGCAUUCUCUGACACUUAUUCAAAAAUCCAUGGGCGUCAUCGCCCUCAGUACCGCUAAAUGUAGGAGGCUGAAGUCUACCAAACCUCUCUAACCGACGCUGCUCGUCGUCAGGCAUCACCGGAACAACAUGCCAGGGGUGGAGCAACUGGAACAGGCGGUGCAACUGCCUGAGCUGGGGCUACCUCUGGCGUCUGAAGUCCCCGUACAACCUGCUCUGGUGUGAGAGCUGCGGGGGUCUGAUAACCACCCCCGGUUUGAGAUAUCGUUGCGGCAACCGUAGCUGAAACUGCCUGGGCCAAACCAGUACAGACCGAUAAAAUUUUGGCUAAUGCCUCCUGAAGGCCAGGAAUAACAAUAGGCACCACCGGUGCCUGAGCGAGUGCUGCUGGAGCUUCAACAAUUGGGGGCUGAUCCUGAGUAGGGGCAACAGAUGGGAAACUGGUACUGCCCCUGCUGCUCUACCACGUCCACGGCCUCUAGCUUGUGGAAAUGGUAGCUGCCCACCUCGUCCGGUAGCACGAGUUCUUGCCAUCUGCGAGAGAAUAGAAUAUAGAAGUUUAAUUCUCGGAACAUCAAAAUUGCACGAAAAGAGUUCAAGAAUAUGAAAUUUUCCUAAAGGAUCUACAGCCUCCCUAGGAUAGAUACGGACGUCUGCGUACCGAUCCACGAGACUCUACCAAACCGGCUCAUAACUCGUGAGGCCUAGCAACCUACGCUCUAAUACCAACUUGUCACGACUCCAAACCCGAUCGUGAUGGCGCCCGGCCGCAAGGCUAGGCAAGCCCGACCAAACGAUCUUCCAUGGAAUGGCAUUCCAGCCCAAAGAGAUACAAAUUUAAGGUUAAGCAACAAAUUUGAAAUAUAAACUCCCAGCCAGGUAUAAGCAAUACAAAUGAAAACACAGAUGAGCCAACAAUACUCCCAAAACCAUGGGGUCACGAGUACAGAGCCUCUAAAAUUACUAAAUACAAGUCUGAAUGGAAAUGAUACAAAUGUAUGACAAAAACUGCAAUGGAACAAACUGAUAAAGACAGAGUAAGCGGUCCUGCAGACGCUGGGCAGCUACCUCAAUACUCUGAUAGCUCGGAUAAGCAAUAGCAACAGCACUAGGUCUCUAGUGCACCUGGAUCUGCACACAAGGUGCAAGGAGUAUGGGGUGAGUACCAAAUCAGCGAUUAAUAAGCAUGUAUAAAAAUCCAAAGAUAAGAGAACACGAAAUUACAUAAAAUGAAGCUAUCUAGCAGUUCUAUACAAUGCAAGCCUCAGAGAUAUACAUAUAAAGCAACAGGAAAUAAAUGCAUGAGAUGCAAUGCAAUGCANNNNNNNNNNNNNNNNNNNNNNNNNNNNNNNNNNNNNNNNNNNNNNNNNNNNNNNNNNNNNNNNNNNNNNNNNNNNNNNNNNNNNNNNNNNNNNNNNNNNNNNNNNNNUUGGGUACCCGCGCUCACUGUGGGGGUUCAGACUACGGAGGGGCUCCUACAACUCAAGCACCAUAUCAUACAUUGCCAAUAGUUACCACUGUUUCCAUGAGAAUAUACGGUGCCAAUAGUUACCACCGUUCCAAUAACAAUAUACUGUCCAGAAAAUAUUGAGAUAGUAAUCGUCAGCCCGAAAUAUCAUUUAAGAAUCAUUUGAGUUUUUUUAAAACAUAUAAAUAUGGCAGAGUUUGCAAAAAUAGUGUUUAAAACAUUGGACUGAAUUCAAAUAAUGUGCAAAUCAUGAAAAUUCUGAAAUAACGAUCCCUGAAGGAUUCUACAAGUCGGCACAAGGCCCCAAACAUGGUAUCAAGCCCAAAUAUCAUCAAUAUAGUAUGCGAGAUUCUACAAGUCGGGACAAGGCCCAAACAUGGCAUCAAGCUCACAUAUCAUCAAUAUUUUGUGCGAAACAAUCGCCAACAUAACACAAUUUAUCCCUCGGAUUGGACCGAGUCACAAUUCCCAACAUAUAUGACCCCGCCCUAACCAUGGAGUGUGUGUCCAUCCUCAUAAUAGUGUCACAAUAUGAUAUACCGGAGUUUCAAACCCUCAGGUCAUCAUUUACACCCAUUACUCACCUCAAGCCGGGGCAAACUAGCUCGCAAUGCCUUUCCCUCGAGAAUCAACAUUCGAUGCAAAAUCUGAUCAAAACCAAUAGGAAUACAUCAAAAUAGGCUAAUGGAACAUAACCCAAUCGAAAUAACUCAAAAUACAUCCAAAAACAUAAAGUUGGCAAAACCCGAGCCCCAGACCCACUUCUCAAAAAAUUACGAAUUUCACAUUUUCGGAAUCCUCGUCUCGCCACGAGUCCAUACAUAUACAUCAAAAUUGGAGUUCAAUAGCCCCUUCAAAUUCAAAAUUUUGAUACCAAAAAUCAAGCCUUAAAUUCUCCAAUUUCCACCAAAUUUUCAGAGAUUUAGAUGAUGAUUCUUCGAUGAAAUCACGUAAUUAGAUCAUAAAACUUACCUCAAGUCGAAACCUAGGUGAAAUCCUCUUACUCCCUCGUCCAAUAGCUCCAAAAUGUGUUCAACAAUGGUGGAAAAUGAUAUUUUCUCGCGGAUGACAUGUCAUUAAACCCUUCUCUCCGCCCAGUCUUUUCUUCAUCGCGAUCGCAACACAACCCACGCGACCGCGAUUACCAAUAUUUUAAAAUUCCAAAAUUGCCCUACGCAAUGCGGCAUGAUCCACGCGAUCGCGGUGCCCUACGGUCUGACUCCACGCGAACGCGACCUGCUCCCACGCGAUCGCGUAUGAGAAACUCCAAUGGUCCAAAAGUCCCUCUUCGCGAACGCAGACAUCCACACGCGAAGGCGGACACCUGAAAUCCACCACUAUGCGAACGCGAAGACCAACUCCACAGGCAUACACACUCGCAACCCAACUCACGCGAUCGCGAUCAACAAAUUCCUCUUGCACUACUGCUGCAUUUUCUGUAGCAUUUCUUAAAUCCAAACUUCCUGAAAAUCAUCCGAAAUCACCCCGAGGCCUCCGAGAACCUCAACCAAAAGUACCAACAUACCCCAAAUCAUCAUACGAACUUGUUCCAAUCAUAAAAACACGUCAAUAAGCACACAAAUCAUCAAAUCAUGACGGAUUCAAGCCUACGUUUCAACUAUAACUUCCGAAACUAACAUUCGAUCAAAACCCAACCGAACGAUGUCUGAAUGACCUGAAAAUUUGCAGACAUAUCCAAAAUAACCUAACGAAGCUACUGCAACUCUCGGAAUUCCAUUCCGACCCCCGGAUCAAAAUCUUACUUAUCAACCAGAAUUCGGCGAAAUUCAACUUAGCCAAUUCAAGCCUAAUUCUACACCUGGCCUCUAAUUUAAGUUCCAUUUUCACUCCCAAGUCAUAAAUCACCACCCGAAACUAGUCGAAUCACCGGAAAUCCAUUCUGAUCCCUAUAACUCAUUAGUCAACAUCCAGUUGACUUUUCCAAACUAGCCUUCUCUUAAAGAGACUACUUGCC